Oncorhynchus masou masou (cherry salmon) is the source of this 483-nucleotide long non-coding RNA. RefSeq lists it as uncharacterized. NCBI's taxonomy places the organism in Eukaryota, Metazoa, Chordata, Actinopteri, Salmoniformes, Salmonidae. The transcript has 3 exons. The record is from RefSeq and is a predicted model, not a curated record.
CUAGCUACUUUUUCAAUGGCUUUUUGUGGACAUUAUCAGAAGCACUGGACGCUUUUUCGUUCAACAUGUGCAAUUGCAACGACUGGCCAAACAAAUAAGGAGCGCCCCCUUUAUGGCAACUGUAUACCGGACAUUCUGUCCACAUCAGGAAGAGAAGAGGCACAUUGAGAGACCGAGAGAGGAGCAGUAAUCUGUUACAUGUGAAGGAAUGGUGUAUGUUGAGCUAAAAACACCUCUGCGACGUGAAGUAUUCGGUAAUAGUUUGACACUGAUGCUACUGCGAUGGAGCAACUAGGAGUUUUAUGAAAUGCGUUGAAUGGAUGUGGAAUUGUUAGCUGCUACUGCAAAGCUGUCAACAGCGAUAUUUAUGCAUUGCACAAUAACUGAUGGGUUCAAGAUAGAGACGGCAACAUGCGGAGCCGCAGUAACUCAGGUGUGAAGCUCGAUGGAUUCGCCAGGCUCGUUCAUGAGACUAUUCUAUGU